Molecule: unclassified non-coding RNA, 253 nt
Filed under: uncultured delta proteobacterium
Lineage: Bacteria; Deltaproteobacteria
Description: contains 16S-23S intergenic spacer region
Rfam family: Bacterial small subunit ribosomal RNA
Source: RNAcentral
UACAGAGGGUGCAAGCGUUGUUCGGAAUUACUGGGCGUAAAGGGCGCGUAGGCGGUUUAGUAAGUCAGAUGUGAAAGCCCGAGGCUCAACCUCGGAAUUGCAUUUGAAACUACUAGGCUAGAGUGCAGUAGAGGCAGGCGGAAUUCCUAGUGGAGAGGUGAAAUUCGUAGAUAUUAGGAGGAACACCGGUGGCGAAGGCGGCCUGCUGGGCUGUUACUGACGCUGAGGCGCGAAAGCGUGGGGAGCAAACAGG